Molecule: ribosomal RNA, 253 nt
Filed under: uncultured bacterium
Lineage: Bacteria
Description: partial 16S ribosomal RNA
Rfam family: Bacterial small subunit ribosomal RNA
Source: RNAcentral
UACGUAGGGUGCAAGCGUUGUCCGGAAUUAUUGGGCGUAAAGCGCUCGCAGGUGGUCCGUCGCGUCGUGCGUGAAAGACCCCGGCUCAACUGGGGAGGGUCGUGCGAUACGGGCGGACUGGAGGCCAGUAGGGGGAUGCGGAAUUCCCGGUGUAGCGGUGAAAUGCGCAGAUAUCGGGAAGAACACCCGUGGCGAAGGCGGCUCUCUGGAACGCAACUGACGCUGAGACGCGAAAGCGUGGGGAGCAAACAGG